UGCCUCCAGCUUUGUUCUUCUGGCUUAGGAUUGACUUGGCGAUGUGGGCUCUUUUUUGGUUCCAUAUGAACUUUAAAGUAGUUUUUUCCAAUUCUGUGAAGAAAGUCAUUGGUAGCUUGAUGGGGAUGGCAUUGAAUCUAUAAAUUACCUUGAGCAGUAUGGCCAUUUUCACAAUAUUGAUUCUUUCUACCCAUGAGCAUGGAAUGUUCUUCCAUUUGUUUGUAUCCUCUUUUAUUUCCUUGAGCAGUGGUUUGUAGUUCUCCUUGAAGAGGUCCUUCACAUCCCUUGUAAGUUGGAUUCCUAGGUAUUUUAUUCUCAUAAAAGAAAAUUUUUAUCUUUUAUCAUAGAACUACAACUUUGGUUAAACAAUGUAUGUAGCUGAUUAUAUUCUUUUGACAAUUCUAUCAAAUUUCCAAGAGUUAUAGUUUUCUCCCCUCCCCCAAGACAUUUGGAGAGCACAUGGACAUCUGUGUCCCGGCCUCACGGUACCUCCCUCAUCCCCAUGGAAAGAGGAAGAUGAGAGAAGGGAGGGAGGCCUUUGGCAGCCAAGGGAAGACAAGUUUCAGGAGUUCAUGAAGCACCAUCCCCCACCCCCAGUGAAGACCCUACCAGAAGGUCUUAUGUUCUGAGCUAUAUUGAGUGACUGCCUCAUUACCACUCCCUACUGUUAUGUGGCAAGUGUCAGGGCUGUGGCAAGGGUCAGGCUAUCAUCAUUGGCCCCUUCAAUAGACUGACCCUAGCAUUAGGGCAACCAUAAGUCCCUGUGUGCCCAAGACAAUCCUAGUUUACAUCUGAGGCCCCAGUGUCACUAUUAAUAGUGACCUCCUUUCACUCUCAAAGUUGUUCCAGUUUGGGCAAUGAAUUAUAUGAUCAAAGGCCCCAUCUCCUUUCAUCUGUCUGUCUCUCUUUUUUUCCCUUCCAUAGAGAUUUUAUCCAUCCCCACAGCUUAAAAUUCUUUCCCUCUGAAGAUAACUACUGAAUUUUCAUCUCUGUCUUUUUGCCCUGAGUCCACAAUUUCCGCUUGGAUACUGAAACAGUCACCCUCUCAGUGCUGGUGGAAAUGACACAAACUGACAAGUAUUUAUUUAGCCUCAUUCCCAUCACUCACCACUGCCACCCAGAAAAGUGUCACCUGAGUAUUUAUUGCAUGCAGCCCCAACACUAAAGAAAGAUCAGAAAUAUUUGUUCCCGUGGUGGAAAAUAAAGGGCUAUUUGCCCACGUCGCCAGGCUUCCUCUGGAAAGCAUCUGGGAAUCAUUCCAGAAAUUCAAUUUCCAGGUGUGUGUUUCUUUAAGGAAAUAUUGUGGAGUAGAGAAGGAACGCACUGUGCAGGUGCCAUUGGCUGUGGGCGUUGCUAUGGCAGAUCAGCCUUAUUACUGAAUAGCAAAGGAAGGAGUCACCAGGAAAACACAACAUGAACAGGCAGAGUGCACACGCCGUGGCCUCGGGAAGCCACAAUCAUGUGGCUGACAUGGUUCCAGAGUGUGGCAUUAGGGAGACCAACUUCUGAGCUGCAGAUUCACAGCAUGGCCAUGCAGGCAGGGAAGAUGUGCUCUACUCCAGGAUCAAGGAGCAAGCCCAUAUUUCCUCUUGAUUCUGGGACUCCCUCUUGAGACUGAUUUGCUCUAAUGUUAGCUCUUGAGAGAACUGGGGUCCCUGCCUUCUUGGGGAGCCUGAAAAGAAGUUUUGCUGUCUGGGCAUCACAGCAUCCAGAGUGUACAGGAGACAGGUCAGCAGCUGCGGUCAGCAGAGGCACACACGCCAGCCCCUGGAGAUGGGUGGCUUGUCCUGAGCCAAAGCUGGGCUGGUUUAUAAACAGCACCUGUGAAAAGAAGAGGGAUGACUCCAGUGGGACAUUCCUGAACCAUGUGCACCUAUUCACCUAGGAGAAGGAAUGGCUGGAGUUGCAUCUAUCUUUCUGUUUAUGAAAUAUGGGCCCAACUCCAGCGACAACAUAAUUUUUAGACCAUUUAGUGGAAUAAUAAAAGUCAAAAGAGGAAAGAGAACUUACAUGGAUUGAACACCCACUGCAUGCUUAGCUCUCUGCUAGGUGCAUUACAGAAAAGAGCUUAUUGAAUUCUUACGCAAACCCUUGAGGAUGAAUGGCCGCUCACCUGGAGUCUUGAUAGCCAGGUGAUGCAGAUUUAGGAGAAGAAGUCCACCUCAGGUCAGGUUUCCCCAAAGGCAGAUCCUGAGAUGAGGAAUCCAGGACCUAUCACUUACUUGGGAGAGGCAGAGUUUCCUUAUGUUGCCCAGGCUGGCCUCAAAGUCCUGACCUCUAGCCAUCCUCCUGCCUUGGCCUCCCAAAGUGCAGGAAUUACAGGUGAGAGCCCCUACACCUGGUCAUUACUUCAUCUUUUUAUGCUGAAUUUUCCUCAUCUGUAAAACUGGGUGAAAUAAUAUUAAACGUGUUAUAGAACUGCUGUGAGAGUUCAAUGAGAUAAUUCUUGUAUCACAGUAUCUGACACAGCAUGAACACUAAAUAAAUUCUGGCUAAUAUUCUCACUCAUUCUACAAAUAUUUAUUGAGUAUUUUCUGUGUGCCAGGCCCUGUUUCAGGCACCAGUGAUACACCAAUGAAUUGAGAUAGAUUCAAUCUAAUUUGUCAUAAAAUUUAGAUUCUAUUGUCUUAAAGACAGACAAUAAACAAGAAAAUAAGUUGAUAACUAACCAUUAUCAUUUCAGGUAAUAAUACGGUUUGGAUGUGUGUCCCCUGUGAAUCUCAUGUUGAAAUGUAAUCCCCCAUGUUGGAGGUGGGACCUGUUGGGAGGUGACUGGAUCAUGGAGGCAGAUUUCUCAUGACUGUCUAAGAAUCCCCCUAGUGACGAGUGAGUUCUCCCUCAGUUAGUUCACGUGAGAUCUGCUUGUUUAAGAGUCUGGGACCUCCCUCUUCUCUCUUCUUGCCCCCACAUCUCACCAUGUGACGCACCUGCUCUCCCUGUGCCUUCCACCAUGAUUGGACGCUUCCUGAGGCCCUCACCAGGAGCAGAUCCCAGCACCAUGCUUCCUGUCCAGCCUGCAGAACUGAGAGCCAAUUAAACCUCUUUUCUUAAUAAAUUACCCAGCCUCAGGAUGUUAUCGCAUGUUAGUAUGCCAAUGGGAUGAACCACAAGAAAUAGGAAAAUCAAUGAUACGAGAGAAAGAUGUCAAGUCCUUGAAUAGGAAAGAGGGCUAGGGCCCUGUGUACAGGUGGCAGAUGCCCUGGACCAAGGCUGUGGCAGGCCAUCCCUUGCAGCAGGAAGAAAUGCAGAGGAUAAAAAUACAGCCACAAGAAACAUUCCUGAAUGCUUAGGGAAAUUGCUUUCCUCUUAAAAAUUUCCAAAAAUUCAUCUUAAGCACCUAUUAAAUGGCUCUUCUGGAGCUGAAGGUUUUGUGCUGCCUGCCAAGCAAUGAUUUGGGGUUCACAGCCAAUCCCAGGGGAGUAAAAGCAGGGACAGGAGGUCAGAGAACACAUUCUCUUCCAUCUGUGCAUGCCUUCAAUAAACGUUGGAUUGACUGGAAUUAUGAGAAACUAAAAUCAUUUGUUGAAGAUCUGCUUAAAAGAUAUUUACAGAUGGUGCAGAAAACCAUUAUCCUGAGGAAGGAAUUACAACCUCCACAGACAGUAUUGGGACUGUCCUAAGAAGAUCGGUCUGAAGGCGGGAACCCUGUCCUGAUGGGAUGCUUCACUACUGAGAACUGGGACGGGUCCAUUGACUCUGUGUCUGUUCAAUGACAUGACCAUUUCUUAGGCGGCAAGUUCCCUGAAGGAAGUGGUCGUGUCUUAGUCAAUAUUCAGUGGCUUCCCCCACCACUCCAGAAGCUCAGUCAAGGAGUGGCAGCACAAAGAACAACAGGGCCUGCAGCUCACAGUUGUUAAAGAUGGAGAGCAGAUCUCCCAGAGAGAAAAGGAGACCCUCUUCACAUCAUGUUCUCUCAUUGGCUUCUUCCUGAAGUCUGAGGCCUGAACCCCCAAAUACUGCUAAUAAAAAGAUUUUUUAAAAUUUAAAUUUUAGAAUCAGGGGGUACAUGUGCAGGUUUGUUACAAGGGUCUGUUGCGUGAUGCUGGGGUUUCGGUUUGUAUUGAUCCUAUCACCCAGAUAGUGAACAGAGUACCUAACAGGAAGAUUUUCAGCCCUUGUUCUCCUCCCUCUCUCCUCCUUUUGGAGUCCCCAGUGUCUAUGGAAGGGUAUUUCCUAGGUUUUCUUCUAGGAUUUCAAAGCUUGAGGUCUUACAUUUAAAGCUUUAAUCCACCCUGAGUUAAUUUGCGUAUAUGGUGAUAGGUAGGGGUCCAGUUUCAUUCUUCUGCGUAUGGCUAG
RNAcentral lists this long non-coding RNA (4296 nucleotides) under Homo sapiens (human). RNAcentral describes it as "HSALNT0222319". Lineage: Eukaryota; Metazoa; Chordata; Mammalia; Primates; Hominidae. The record is from RNAcentral.